GUGAAGUAUUGCAUGAGUAGGUGGAGAAAGACUGUCACUUGGAAAGCUGAAAUCAUGGAGAAGGAAGAAGCAGCCGCAAAGCUGGAUACUGAAAGCGAGAAUAUCCCCAGCAGCCAGCCUGCUCCACCAGCCCAAAACAUGCAGCCAGAGGAGAAGGAGCCUCCGCCAAAACCUGUCGCUAACGAGAACACCAGCCUGGUGCACGGACCCGGGGACAAGAAG
Pelobates cultripes (western spadefoot toad) is the source of this 222-nucleotide non-coding RNA. The record is from the annotation of a GenBank genome assembly. Lineage: Eukaryota; Metazoa; Chordata; Amphibia; Anura; Pelobatidae.